UACAGAGGUCCCAAGCGUUGUUCGGAUUCACUGGGCGUAAAGGGUGCGUAGGUGGCCGUGGAAGUUCGGUGUGAAAGCUCGGAGCUCAACUCCGAAAAGUCAUUGAAUACUCUACGGCUUGAGGGUCGGAGGGGAGACUGGAAUUCUCGGUGUAGCAGUGAAAUGCGUAGAUAUCGAGAGGAACACCAGUGGCGAAGGCGAGUCUCUGGACGACCCCUGACACUGAGGCACGAAAGCUAGGGGAGCAAACAGG
Molecule: ribosomal RNA, 253 nt
Filed under: uncultured bacterium
Lineage: Bacteria
Description: partial 16S ribosomal RNA
Rfam family: Bacterial small subunit ribosomal RNA
Source: RNAcentral